AGGAUUAGAUACCCUUGUAGUCCACGCCGUAAACGAUGCAUACUAGGUGUUGGCCCUUUUGGGUCAGUGCUGCAGUUAACGCAUUAAGUAUGCCACCUGGGGAGUACGUCGGCAACGAUGAAACUCAAAGGAAUUGACGGGGGCCCGCACAAGCGGUGGAGCAUGUGGCUUAAUUCGAUGCAACGCGAGGAACCUUACCUGGGCUAAAUCCACAGCGCUACCUCUGGAAACAGAGGGUUUCUU
This 243-nucleotide ribosomal RNA is filed under the name uncultured bacterium. Its description in RNAcentral is "partial 16S ribosomal RNA". It matches the Rfam family "Bacterial small subunit ribosomal RNA", at positions 774 to 1019 of the family's 1533-position model. The record is from RNAcentral.